Molecule: long non-coding RNA, 1021 nt
Filed under: Pan troglodytes (chimpanzee)
Lineage: Eukaryota; Metazoa; Chordata; Mammalia; Primates; Hominidae
Description: long non-coding RNA NONPTRT017887
Source: RNAcentral
CUUUUAAAAAAAUUCUGCCCAACAAAAUCCUGGAGUACAUCAGCCCAAGUUUCAUUUCUGUGCUGCUUUCUUUUCCUAGCUGGCCUUGGUCGCACGGGCACUCUGAUAGCCUGCUACAUCAUGAAGCAUUACAGGAUGACAGCAGCCGAGACCAUUGCGUGGGUCAGGAUCUGCAGACCUGGCUCGGUGAUUGGGCCUCAGCAGCAGUUUUUGGUGAUGGAAGCAAACAAACCUCUGGCUGGAAGGGGACUAUUUUCGUCAGAAGUUAAAGGGGCAGGAGAAUGGACAACACAGAGCAGCCUUCUCCAAACUUCUCUCUGGCGUUGAUGACAUUUCCAUAAAUGGGGUCGAGAAUCAAGAUCAGCAAGAACCCGAACCGUACAGUGAUGAUGACGAAAUCAAUGGAGUGACACAAGGUGAUAGACUUCGGGCCUUGAAAAGCAGAAGACAAUCCAAAACGAACGCUAUUCCUCUCACAGUAAUUCUUCAAUCCAGUGUUCAGAGCUGUAAAACAUCUGAACCUAACAUUUCUGGCAGUGCAGGCAUUACUAAAAGAACCACCAGAUCUGCUUCAAGGAAAAGCAGUGUUAAAAGUCUCUCCAUUUCAAGGACUAAAACAGUCUUGCGUUAAGUAAAAACCUGUGACCAGAGCUGAAGGAAGACUCUAGGACUGAAAACUGCAACAGAAAUUAGCACAAUUUGAAAACAAAACAAAAUUGCAAAAGCCUUAGUUGCUUUUUCCACCUAAGAAGUUAAUCAAUGGAGAAAAUGUCCACUGGAGUUUGAAUAAUGAACUUUGAGUUUGGGUGCAAGCAAAUGACUCAGAGAAGGGUCCAGCUCUCAAGCUGAAUGACAAACAUGCUGUUGUAAAUUUAGUCUCAGGUGUAAAUACCCAAGCCCUCUGGUACCCAGGGAGCUGGCUGGUCUGUGGUGCAUGUGUGUCCCUGUGAUGGCAAUCAUUGUAGUUGCUGGCCUUCAGAAGAAUUGAGGAUCUGAUGGAGGUUUUUUAUGUAUUUAUUUU